Molecule: long non-coding RNA, 5050 nt
Organism: Mytilus trossulus (common blue mussel)
Lineage: Eukaryota; Metazoa; Mollusca; Bivalvia; Mytilida; Mytilidae
Exons: 2
Source: RefSeq, a predicted model, not a curated record
UGAUUUUGAAAAAAAUCCUGUUUAAUUCAUAUAAAAUAUUUCAAAAUGUGAGUUUAAAUUAUUGUGUUUACAACUCUGUCGCAUUUUUCACAAAAAUAAAAACAGCACAAUAAUUUCUGAAUUUAGUGUAAGCAAGGAUUUAUAUAUAUGCUUAUUGAUUACAAAUUACAAAUAUCUAUUUUUGUCAAAAGUUUGGCAUAGAUAAGGGUCUUCUUUUUGUUAUUUUUUUUUUUAUAUAUUUCAUAGAAUCUUUAUAAGCUUAUUUGGAAGAGACUUGACAUUUUUGUUGAUAAAUAAUAGUUUGAGAACUGGACAGAUAUUUUUAAAAAUUAUUAUUUAACAGAGGAGAAACUUACUUAUAAGCUAGAAAUUAUACAGAUUUUAUUAUACUAGAAUUUAUACACACCAAGACAUACAGCAAAUUUGAAAAAAAAGGUUUGGAGUCUUUCCUUUUUCCAGCGCAAAUUAAAAAAUGAAUGUAUUUGACUAUGCAUUUUUGUGCCAUAUAUAUAAAAUUGAUUUUUUUUAUAUUCGCUUUCAUAAAUGAUGCUAUUAUUUUUUUCAUUUAUCAUUACUAUUGUUAAGAUAUACUAAACUGUAUACAUAAUAGUUGUUUCUAAUGUCUAAAAAAAUCUCUCUUUUUUUGUGUGCAUCAUAUGGUUGUUAGGUCAAUGUCAUAUACAUCAUAUAUCCGCCAAGUCACAUUAAGCUAUAAUUGCAAUUUUUCAUUAGAUGAAAUCUACCAUGCAUAAUUUCAUAUUUUUUCUAUCAAAAGACCACUUAUUGUUAGUCCAAAUAAUUAUGACGUCUUGAAAGGCUAUUAUAAUUUUUUUCUUUGACGCCUUACAUCAACGUCAUAAUGCUGAAGCCGCCAUUUUGGAUGGACUUUGAGAGCAUAUUUUGCUCUCAACUUUGAGACCCAAUUUAACCAUCAAAUUUUCAUUGAAGGCUUAAAUAAAAUGCAUAUAUUAAAAUUCUUACCUUUUAUGUGUUUAGUUUAAACAAUAUUUUAUUUCAAGAAGUGCACAAAAUAUAAUUAUACAAUAUGAAAUACAGGGAUUCGGAAACAAGAAAAACUUAUAUAAAUCGGUCUCCCUUUUAAAAAAAAUGACAAAAUUAGGAACAUAGUAUUAGAAACUCGUAUAACGUAAUUUUCAAUUCUUAGCUAACAUGUUUAUUCUGUGGUUUGCCUGUUGCUCAGAAGUCAGUUUGAUCGAAAAAUGUGAUCAACUCGUAUUUAAAUAAUUAUAGUGCAUGUAACUGAGAAAUAUGUUAAUGUUUCGAAAAUAAGGUUACAUCAAAUAAAGUUUCAAAAUCUUAAUCGACAUCGACAUAAAAACAAUUGUUACGGACCAAAUCUCCCUGUUUCUAAAAUAAAUCUUUGUACAACUUUAAAAAUAUUUUCGUUUUCCUCAUCACUGAUAAGUUCACUACAUGAUAAUAAUGUUUGUAUAUUAUAUAUUGGUAGUGUAGAAAUGGUUUGUGUUCUGAUGAGUCGAUAAUUGUGACAUUCUAGAAAAUAGUGUUUGCUGCUCUCAACUUGCCCACAUAUACAGAGACUGGAAAGAACAAUAUUUUUCUGGAAAAGGUGUUCAUUUAAACCACUGCAGUUCAACCAGAGUCUGGCGUGAAGUAUUUGGCCUUUUCUACAACCAGCAUUAUAAUACGUGGGGACUUUCUUAGUAUCACGAUUUAUAUAAUUUUUAAGUGUAAAUUUUGAAGGAUUACAUCUAACAUCUUGUGGAAGCCUGUUCCAAUCACGAAUUACAGAUGGUAGGAAAGAAUUUUGAUAAAAAGUAGUUCUACAGUUCAUAUUUUGAACAUUAAAUGCACUUCUAGUAUUAUAGUUAUAGACCUGAUAUAGUUGUUGAGGUACGAGACUACAAAGAUAAUUAGGAGCUUGAUCGUGAAACAUUUCGUGAAAUUUAAUAAUUUUAUGUCUGGAUCUUCUUUCACUCAGAGACACCCAACCAGUAUCCUUAUAAAGAUUAGAUUUAGAGCAAAGCUUAGUGGCACCUGUGACUAUACAAGCCGCUUCUAUUUGAAUGCUCUCUAGCUUGUCCUUUAAGUAAAUUGGUAUGUUAUCCCACACAGUAUCUGCAUAUUCGAGAAUGGGCCUGAUGAAGCUGAUAUAUAUAACUUGUAGAUUAUUAUGCGAUAGCUUAAACUUUAAACUCCUCAUAAGAUUUAAGCGAGGCGUAGCUUUAUCAAUAAUAUAGUUUACAUGAAUUUCCCAACAACCGUUUUCUUGAAAAAUUAACUAAUUUCAGGUCAGUGAAAAUGUACCGAGUUUGGUUCAAAAAUAUAUUUUAUACACCUAAAAUGAAGCAUCUUUAGGAGAAAUCAGCUAAACGUUUUGAUAAAGCAGUAAAUUCCCUCUCAAAGUCCAACUGAACAUAUGUGUUUGGCGUUAUGACGUCAAUGUAAGGCGUCAAAUAAAAAAAUUAUAAUAGCCUUUCAAGACGUCAUAAUUAUUUGGACUAACUUAUUGUAUGCAAUAUUCAAUUUACACUGUUUUGAGCAUUGUAAAUAUAAUCAUUUUAAAAUGUUGCUUUAGUGACCUGCUAGCAGGAUUAGUGCAUCAUAAUAUUUUUAUCUUAUUCACUGUAUCAGAAUCUUAUGCAUUCUAGCCAAUUUCUGGGUAAUAUUUGAAAAACAUGCACCAUACAUUGUAAUUGGUAAACAUUGAUCUGAACAUGGAAAUUUAACUUCAGAUUUCACAUUAUUUUCACUUGGAUGUAAAACAAUAGAAUAACAUAGUUCUGUAGAUUCUUAAACAGUAAGUUAGGAUACAUGUUACUGUAAAUUCAGAAAUUAUUGGGAGUGUUUUUUUUAUAACUGAACCGUUGAUCUUUAUGCAGAUUAUUUUGUAAUUGCAAUAAUUAAACUCACAAUUUUUUUCCAUCCGUAAUUAUUUGCAAUCUUAAAAGCACCCAAUAAUUAAUAGUUUCUGAAUUUACAUCAAUUGUUUAUACAUGUAACUGUUGACAUUGAAGCUCAUAAUCAUUUAAGUUGAAUGUUUGUCUCUCAUUGAUAAAAUCAGUGUCCUCAAUACUGUUUUUGUUACAUUUAUGUUAUUUGUUUGUUUUUGAUGAAAUAGUUUCCUUCAUGUUGGUCAGCUUAGCCCAGGCCUCACGGUCAUAAAACUUUCAAGCAUGAUUUUUGUACUCAGACUCAAAAAUCAACCAAUCAAAUUGCUUGAUUUCAUGUUUCGAGCAAUGAUUUUUGUGCUCCGAGCACAGAGCUCAGUUUUAUGCCUUCAAGUCCUGGCUUCUAUACACUUUGCAGUCAUUAAAUUUUAUGUUUCAGGUCACACUUAAACAUGCAAUUGAAAUCUCUAUAUCAUAAUUUUUUUUCAAGCAACCACUCAAAUUAACACAUGUCAGAAAUCCAAAAUAAAAUUUUCUAGAAAGACCUAAAAAAAAAAUUACAGUGACCAGUCAUUUUUAUAAAUGUAAAAAACUCAAUAAACUUAAAAUAUAUUUCAAAAAAAGAACUAAACAAAUAAAUGUAUUUGGUAAAUAUUUAUUACAUUUAUAUAUGCAGUCACGUAAUACAUAAUAAUAUUUCUCUAAUUCUAUGGAGAUUUAUCCCUUUCUGAACCCAUUAUAUAAAAAAAUUUAAUCAACGUGUGGUUGCUGGUGAUCUCAAAAGAUCAUUGGAUGAUUUUAAGGGUCACUACCUUUUUAGCUAACUGAAUGAAUCAAAAUAUGAUAACAGGUGUUAAUGAAAUUGACAACUUCGUGCAAUGUGAAAGGCACUCGAAGGGGAUUUUCGGUUAACUAAUCUAAUCAUUAGAGAAACAGAUUCUUACAUAGUUACUCGUGAAUUAUCGGAUUUAUCCAAUCUCGAUAGUUAAAUUAUAAAUUUUAAAGUCCUCACCGAGGCGGCUCGGACUUUAAAAUUGAUAAUUUAACUAUCGAGAUUGGAUAAAUCCGAUAAUCCACUGGUAUCAAUGUAAGAAUCUAUAUGUACAUAUUUUGUAUCGGACAUAUAUUUUUUUAUACAUGGCUUUACCAAGAUUUUUUUUUUUAUUAAAAUAAUGUAUUUUUUGCACAUUUUAUGUGUGGUAACAAUUUUGACAUAUCAUUGUAAUUUUGUUUAUGACAUUAUGCUUUAUACAUGUAUUUGGUUGUGAUUUACAAAGAUAAAAUAGAUUUAGAUAAACAUUCCAUAUACAUUUAUAUAUACAAUAUACUAUUAUUCCCAAAACACCAAUAUAUGGAACAUUAUUGCUGACCACCCCAUCUCUGUAUGUAACAGUUAAAUUUUACGAAAGUAGAGGGGCAUUAUCUUUUCUGGUCUGUGCAUCCGUCUGAUGGUUCGUCUUUCCUGCUUCAGGUUAAAGUUUAGGUCAAGGUAUUUUUUUAUGAAGUUGAAGACCAAUCAACUUGAAACUCAGUACAAGUGUUCCCUUUGAUAGGAUCUUUCUAAUGUUAAUGCCAAAUUAGAGUUUUUACCCCAAUUUCACGGUCCACUGAACAUAGAAAAUGAUAGUGCAAGUGGGACAUCCGUGUACUUUGGACACAUUCUUGUUAAACUCCAUUUUAUGUAAGAAAAGUAUUAUUUAAAAGUUCAUAAAGUUUGACCUUUUUCAAGACUAUAAUUUUCAUCAAAAAUAUUAAUUUAUCCUUUGAUUUAAAGUUAUCUCAUGAAAUCCAAAUAUUGAACAAUAAAAUGGGCAAAUCAUCAAACAUCUUCAGUAAUUAAUAUGCACUUUCAUUACUUGACAUCAUCUAAUUUGGUUAGAUUCCACAAAUGUUGUGAAUUCUCAGAGAUCAACAAAUAUCUGGCAUACUGAAUUCACCAAAAAAAAGAUAUAGUCAAAACCACUUGCAAGAUUUAUGUUCCACCUUGGAGCCCUUCUGGUUAAACCCUUUUUAAUGAUAACACACUCUGUUUAAUAAAAAAAAAGUGUUUAGGGAAUAAUGUUAUGUUUACAUGUUGGUUACUUUCAAGUUGUUACAUUCUGCUUAUCAUUAAUGAAGGAACUGAUUUAGAUGUAAAAUCUAAGCAUUUCCUAUGUUUUUUUAUUAAAGAUUUUAUAAGU